GAAUUCGCCCUUAGAGUUUGAUCCUGGCUCAGGACGAACGCUGGCGGCGCGCCUAACACAUGCAAGUCGAACGAGCGAGAGGAGGUUUACUUUCUCAAGCGAGUGGCGAACGGGUGAGUAACGCGUGAGGAACCUGCCUCAAAGAGGGGGACAACAGUUGGAAACGACUGCUAAUACCGCAUAAGCCCACGACCCGGCAUCGGGUAGAGGGAAAAGGAGCAAUCCGCUUUGAGAUGGCCUCGCGUCCGAUUAGCUAGUUGGUGAGGUAAUGGCCCACCAAGGCGACGAUCGGUAGCCGGACUGAGAGGUUGAACGGCCACAUUGGGACUGAGACACGGCCCAGACUCCUACGGGAGGCAGCAGUGGGGAAUAUUGCACAAUGGGGGAAACCCUGAUGCAGCGACGCCGCGUGGAGGAAGAAGGUCUUCGGAUUGUAAACUCCUGUUGUUGAGGAAGAUAAUGACGGUACUCAACAAGGAAGUGACGGCUAACUACGUGCCAGCAGCCGCGGUAAAACGUAGGUCACAAGCGUUGUCCGGAAUUACUGGGUGUAAAGGGAGCGCAGGCGGGAAGGCAAGUUGGAAGUGAAAUCCAUGGGCUCAACCCAUGAACUGCUUUCAAAACUGUUUUUCUUGAGUAGUGCAGAGGUAGGCGGAAUUCCCGGUGUAGCGGUGGAAUGCGUAGAUAUCGGGAGGAACACCAGUGGCGAAGGCGGCCUACUGGGCACCAACUGACGCUGAGGCUCGAAAGUGUGGGUAGCAAACAGGAUUAGAUACCCUGGUAGUCCACACUGUAAACGAUGAUU
This 805-nucleotide ribosomal RNA is filed under the name uncultured bacterium. RNAcentral describes it as "bacterial SSU rRNA". It matches the Rfam family "Bacterial small subunit ribosomal RNA", at positions 1 to 814 of the family's 1533-position model. The record is from RNAcentral.